GACGAACGCUGGCGGCGUGCCUAAUACAUGCAAGUAGGACGCAGUUGCGAACGGGUGAGUAACGCGUAGGGAACUACCUAUUAGAGGGGGAUAAACAUUGGAAACGAUAGCUAAUACCGCAUACUAGUAGAUGGACCUGCGGUGUAUUAUGUAGUAGGUAGGGUAAUGGCCUAACGAGGCAACGAUACAUAGCAGACUUGAGCUGGUGCUCGGUCAAACGGGGACGGAGACAAGGCCCAGACUCCUACGGGAGGCAGCAGUAGGGAAUCUGCGGCAAUGUGGGGAACCCUGACCGAGCAAAGGCGGGUGAGUGAAGAAGGUUUUCGGAUCGUAAAGCUCUGUUGUUAAGGAAGCGGUACUUAACCAGAAAGGGACGGCUAACUACGGGCCAGCAGCCGCGGUAAUAC
RNAcentral lists this ribosomal RNA (407 nucleotides) under uncultured bacterium. RNAcentral's name for it is "partial 16S ribosomal RNA". It matches the Rfam family "Bacterial small subunit ribosomal RNA", at positions 28 to 526 of the family's 1533-position model. The record is from RNAcentral.